GACGAACGCUGGCGGCGUGCUUAACACAUGCAAGUCGAACGGAAAGGCCCCUUUGGGGGUCCUCGCGUGGCGAACGGGUGAGUAACACGUGAGUAACCUGCCCUUGACUUCGGGAUAACUUCAGGAAACUGGGGCUAAUACCGGCUAGGAAUCCUUGCUGCCUGGUGGGGGUUGGAAAGCUUCGGCGGUUUUGGAUGGACUCGCGGCCUAUCAGCUUGUUGGUGGGGUAGUGGCUUACCAAGGCUUUGUCGGGUAGCCGGCCUGGGAGGGCGACCGGCCACAUUGGGACUGGGAUUCGGCCCAGACUCCUACGGGGGGCAGCAGUGGGGGAUAUUGGACAAUGGGCGGAAGCCUGAUGCAGCAACGCCGCGGGCGGGAUGACGGCCUUCGGGUUGUAAACCGCUUUCAGCAGGGGCGAAGCUUGUGGUGACGGUACCUGCAGAAGAAGCACCGGCUAACUACGUG
RNAcentral lists this ribosomal RNA (465 nucleotides) under uncultured bacterium. RNAcentral's name for it is "partial 16S ribosomal RNA". It matches the Rfam family "Bacterial small subunit ribosomal RNA", at positions 28 to 507 of the family's 1533-position model. The record is from RNAcentral.